AGUGAACGCUGGCGGUAGGCCUAACACAUGCAAGUCGAACGGCAGCACAGUAAGAGCUUGCUCUUACGGGUGGCGAGUGGCGGACGGGUGAGGAAUACAUCGGACUCUACUUUUUCGUGGGGGAUAACGUAGGGAAACUUACGCUAAUACCGCAUACGACCUACGGGUGAAAGCAGGGGAUCUUCGGACCUUGCGCGAUUGAAUGAGCCGAUGUCGGAUUAGCUAGUUGGCGGGGUAAAGGCCCACCAAGGCGACGAUCCGUAGCUGGUCUGAGAGGAUGAUCAGCCACACUGGAACUGAGACACGGUCCAGACGCCUACGGGAGGCAGCAGUGGGGAAUAGUGGACAAUGGGCGCAAGCCUGAUCCAGCCAUACCGCGUGGGUGAAGAAGGCCUUCGGGUUGUAAAGACCUUUUGUUGGGAAAGAAAAGCAGCAGGUUAAUACCCCGCUGUUCUGACGGUACCCAAAGAAUAAGCACCGGCUAACUUCGUG
RNAcentral lists this ribosomal RNA (492 nucleotides) under uncultured bacterium. Its description in RNAcentral is "partial 16S ribosomal RNA". It matches the Rfam family "Bacterial small subunit ribosomal RNA", at positions 29 to 507 of the family's 1533-position model. The record is from RNAcentral.